ACGCUCGACACCUACUGGAGGCAGCAGUGGGGAAUAUUGCACAAUGGGGGAAACCCUGAUGCAGCGACGCCGCGUGAAGGAAGAAGUAUCUCGGUAUGUAAACUUCUAUCAGCAGGGAAGAAAAUGACGGUACCUGACUAAGAAGCCCCGGCUAACUACGUGCCAGCAGCCACGGUAAUCUGAGCGGGCUGGCAAGGC
Molecule: ribosomal RNA, 198 nt
Filed under: uncultured bacterium
Lineage: Bacteria
Description: partial 16S ribosomal RNA
Rfam family: Bacterial small subunit ribosomal RNA
Source: RNAcentral